AGCAGCCGCGGUAAUUCCAGCUCCAAUAGCGUAUAUUAAAGUUGUUGCAGUUAAAAAGCUCGUAGUUGAAUUUCGGGGUCAGUAGGUUGGUCGUGCCACAGGUAUGUACUGGCUUCACUGAUUCCUCCUUCUUGAAGAACUGUGAUGCCAUUAAUUUGGUGUUGCAGGGAAACAGGACUGUUACUUUGAAAAAAUUAGAGUGUUUAAAGCAGGCUAACGCUUGAAUACAUUAGCAUGGAAUAAUGAAAUAGGACGUGGAUCCUAUUUUGUUGGUUUCUAGGAUUAACGUAAUGAUUAAUAGGGAUAGUUGGGGGCAUUAGUAUUCAAUUGUCAGAGGUGAAAUUCUUGGAUUUAUUGAAGACUAACUACUGCGAAAGCAUUUGCCAAGGAUGUUUUCAUUAAUCAAGAACGAAAGUUAGGGGAUCGAAGACGAUCAGAUACCGUCGUAGUCUUAACCAUAAACUAUGCCGACUAGGGAUCGGAUGAUGUUAAUUUUUUAAUGACUCGUUCGGCGCCUUAC
Molecule: ribosomal RNA, 520 nt
Filed under: uncultured Glomus
Lineage: Eukaryota; Fungi; Glomeromycota; Glomeromycetes; Glomerales; Glomeraceae
Description: SSU rRNA
Rfam family: Eukaryotic small subunit ribosomal RNA
Source: RNAcentral